Molecule: ribosomal RNA, 200 nt
Filed under: uncultured bacterium
Lineage: Bacteria
Description: partial 16S ribosomal RNA
Rfam family: Bacterial small subunit ribosomal RNA
Source: RNAcentral
AGAGUUUGAUCCUGGCUCAGGACGAACGCUGGCGGCGUGCCUAAUACAUGCAAGUCGAGCGGAGAGGAGAGAGCUUGCUCUCGAAUCUUAGCGGCGGACGGGUGAGUAACACGUAGGCAACCUACCUGUAAGACUGGGAUAACCUCGGGAAACCGAAGCUAAUACCAGAUAAGCUGAAUCCCUGCAUGGGGGUUUACUAA